RNAcentral lists this unclassified non-coding RNA (245 nucleotides) under uncultured Tricholomataceae. Its description in RNAcentral is "sequence contains ITS2". The record is from RNAcentral. Lineage: Eukaryota; Fungi; Basidiomycota; Agaricomycetes; Agaricales; Tricholomataceae.
AAUUCUCAACCAUUCAAGUUUUUCUUGUUUGGCUUGGUUAUGAGGGAUGCGGGCUUCAACAAGUCGGCUCUCUUGAAAUGCAUUAGCUGGGAACUAGUAUAUGGUUCAAGUGCAUUGAUGCUUGAAGACCUCCUAGUGUGAUAAUUAUCUACGCUGUUGGUUUAGUCUUUGCUUUAUUGACCUUAGAACAAGCCUGCUUCUAAUUGUCUACUCUGUAGACUAAUCCUCAUGGAUUAUAAUGACUA